GCGUUGUUCGGAUUUAUUGGGCGUAAAGGGCGCGUAGGCGGCGUAUCAAGUCAGUUGUGAAAUCUCCGGGCUUAACUCGGAACGUGCAAUUGAUACUGACGUGCUAGAGUGUAGAAGGGGCAAUCGGAAUUCUUGGUGUAGCGGUGAAAUGCGUAGAUAUCAAGAGGAACACCUGAGGUGAAGGCGGGUUGCUGGUCUAACACUGACGCUGAGGCGCGAAAGCUAG
RNAcentral lists this ribosomal RNA (226 nucleotides) under uncultured bacterium. RNAcentral describes it as "partial 16S ribosomal RNA". It matches the Rfam family "Bacterial small subunit ribosomal RNA", at positions 538 to 763 of the family's 1533-position model. The record is from RNAcentral.